This 296-nucleotide long non-coding RNA is filed under the name Brachypodium distachyon (stiff brome). RNAcentral describes it as "long non-coding RNA (BDIS_LNC004707)". The record is from RNAcentral. Lineage: Eukaryota; Viridiplantae; Streptophyta; Magnoliopsida; Poales; Poaceae.
AUGCAUAUAUAAGCUAUCCCAUAAUUUUUGGAUAAUUAUGUGGGGUUGAAAAGGUAUUUUAUUUAAAUAGAUAUUUGGGGUUGAAAAAUGUAUUUUUAUAUAGUUUAUUUUGAAGAGAAACUACUUCCAAAAGAUGUAUCAUGGUAGAACCUGAUUUUACAAAUUUUCUGGAUUUUAUUUGGACCAAUUUGAAGUUCAAACUCAAAAGAUAUCAAAGAAAUGAGAUAAGCAGAAAAAGAAAAGGCUAAAAAAAAAGGGGAGAAACGGACCAGCCCAGCCACUUUGGGCCAAACCGG